GACGACGACGUUGAUAGGUCGGGUGUGUAAGUGUAGCGAUACAUUGAGCUAACCGAUACUAAUGAACCGUGAGGCUUAACCUUACAACGCCGAAGC
RNAcentral lists this ribosomal RNA (96 nucleotides) under Kluyvera ascorbata. Its description in RNAcentral is "partial 23S ribosomal RNA". The stretch from base 1 to 83 matches the Rfam family "Bacterial large subunit ribosomal RNA", at positions 2843 to 2925 of the family's 2925-position model. The record is from RNAcentral. Lineage: Bacteria; Pseudomonadati; Pseudomonadota; Gammaproteobacteria; Enterobacterales; Enterobacteriaceae.